GAUGAACGCUGGCGGCGUGCUUAACACAUGCAAGUCGAACGGAAAGGCCCUGCUCUUGUGGGGUUCUCGAGUGGCGAACGGGUGAGUAACACGCGAGUAACCUGCCCUUGACUUUGGGAUAUCAUCACGAAACUGGGGCUAAUAUCGGAUAGGAUCUCCUGCACCAUGGUGGUCAUUGGAAAGUUUCGGCGGUGGGGGCUGGAGUGGCGGCUUAUCAGCUUGUUUGUGGGGUAGUUGCUUACCAAGCCUUUGACGGAUAGCCUGCCUGGGAGGGUGACCGGCCACCAUAGGACUGCGAUAGGGAGCAGUAGGCAAUGGGAGGCAGCAGGCGAGAGUAUUGCACAGCGAGCGCGAGCGUGUUGCAGAGGCGUUGCGUGCGGAAAGCCGGCCUUUGGGUUAUGAACCGCUUUCGCCUGUGACGAAGCGUGAGUGACGGUAAUGAGUAAAGAAGCACCGGCUAACUACGUG
Molecule: ribosomal RNA, 468 nt
Filed under: uncultured bacterium
Lineage: Bacteria
Description: partial 16S ribosomal RNA
Rfam family: Bacterial small subunit ribosomal RNA
Source: RNAcentral